Triticum aestivum (bread wheat) is the source of this 1491-nucleotide long non-coding RNA. RefSeq lists it as uncharacterized. The transcript is spliced from 6 exons. Lineage: Eukaryota; Viridiplantae; Streptophyta; Magnoliopsida; Poales; Poaceae. The record is from RefSeq and is a predicted model, not a curated record.
GCCCAAUCCAAUCGCCCGCAUGCCGCAACCCUUCCUCCCUCCUUGAUCUCUCUCCCUCAGCCGCCAUGAACCCUAGCCCCUUUUCCUACGAUCCCGCGGUCGCUGCCCUUGCUCCAUCCGACCUCCCUCGUCAGCCGCCGCCGCUAUGGCUCCUCCGUCCUCCAACUCUGUCUCCCCAAUUCAUCCUCCAUCCCUUUCUGCUCGAGGUGCUCAUCAGCCCAGGUCGUGAGGAAGCCGCGUGAGGACGAGAGACCUCGCCCGAGAAGCUGUGGGAGGAGGGCCUCAACCAGAGAGGAGCGGCUGCCAGCCAUGUAGUCGGCUCAGCUCGAUGCCGUCCUUGGCGUCCGGGCCGGGGCAGACCGUAGCACCAUCCUUCAGGAGUCUUCACGACCUCCAGGUGCGCAUCUUUCAGGAUUUAAUAAUGAGUUAUCUUGGGCUUCAUUGGACAAAUGAUCUACCUGGAGCAAUGAUACAGCAUACAAUGCGCCAGGUUCUACUGCAACAGUACGACAUACAAAGUGAUGGAGGAGAGGUGUUCAGAGAAAGAGUUAUACAUGUGCCAGGUUCUGAAGUAUGAGGAUCCGGUGCGAUAGGAAGCAGCUCUGAAUAUGGUUCCUGUAGAUGAACUUAAGGAGAAGGCGCUUAUUUCACUGGCCAAGGAAACAUGUGAAAAAGGUGGGAUCUUUCCGUCGGAUUUCCCAGCUGGCUAUAUGCAUCAUAGAGCAUCUAAUCUGCAUCAAUUUAGACAUGGUGUGGAGCGUCGACCACGGCGAGCUUGGCUAAUGUCAACACGUGAAGGUGAGUUUCACCCAAUUCCUUUUCACCCCUCUCUCUCUCCCUCUCUAAUUCCAUCUAACUCUGCAGCUCGGCAAGCUUAUGCAAUGUGCUCUGUUUCCAUAUUUUUUAUUGUUUUAAAUAGAUAUCACUCAGGAGAGCAUGUUCUUUAGGUUAGCAUUACCGUGAAGGACCUAUACCUUCCUGUUUAAUUGAUUAUGUUUGCACAACAUGUAUUUUCAAAAUUAGUUGUUCAUGUGCGAAGAAUUUUGUUAGUUUUUAGUUUAAAAAAGGUAUACAUUGGUUCCUAAUUUGACCCGAGCAGCCAAAAUGGAUGUAUAUAUUAUUUGUGGUGUUCUAAGGGAAGCAGGCCCUCUGUUACAGCUUGCUAGCCAUUUUUGUUUGUGAAUACGCAAGGGUGCCUUGCCUUCUCUACUCUGAAAUUUCAGGUAUUUGAUAGCCUUGCUACACACGUUUUGUUUGAGUGAUGCGUUCUUAACUGAAAUGUCUUUGUGAUCGUACUGACAUGUUAUAUUUCGUCCUCAGCUGGGUCAAGUACAGAAGACGAAACACAAGAUUCAAGAUCACUCUCCUGUAUGUGAUUAUUUACUCAUUUCGAGCCAUUUUGCAACCCAGCUUGACUUCUUUUAUUUUGUGAUCUGAGCUAUACACACCAAAAUUAGCCCACGUAAGUUGGAACCAUAUCUGAACUUGUUA